RNAcentral lists this ribosomal RNA (172 nucleotides) under uncultured bacterium. RNAcentral describes it as "partial 16S ribosomal RNA". It matches the Rfam family "Bacterial small subunit ribosomal RNA", at positions 335 to 524 of the family's 1533-position model. The record is from RNAcentral.
ACUCCUACGGGAGGCAGCAGUGGGGGAUAUUGCACAAUGGGGGAAACCCUGAUGCAGCAACGCCGCGUGAGGGAAGAAGGUUUUCGGAUUGUAAACCUCUGUCCUUGGGGAAGAUAAUGACGGUACCCAAGGAGGAAGCUCCGGCUAACUACGUGCCAGCAGCCGCGGUAAU